This 324-nucleotide ribosomal RNA is filed under the name Escherichia coli. Its description in RNAcentral is "partial 23S ribosomal RNA". It matches the Rfam family "Bacterial large subunit ribosomal RNA", at positions 1970 to 2293 of the family's 2925-position model. Lineage: Bacteria; Pseudomonadati; Pseudomonadota; Gammaproteobacteria; Enterobacterales; Enterobacteriaceae. The record is from RNAcentral.
UGUCGGGUAAGUUCCGACCCGCACGAAAGGCGUAACGAUUUGGGCACUGUCUCAACGAGAGACUCGGUGAAAUCAUAGUACCUGUGAAGAUGCAGGUUACCCGCGACAGGACGGAAAGACCCCGUGGAGCUUUACUGUAGCCUGAUAUUGAAAUUCGGCACAGCUUGUACAGGAUAGGUAGGAGCCUUUGAAACGUGAGCGCUAGCUUACGUGGAGGCGCUGGUGGGAUACUACCCUAGCUGUGUUGGCUUUCUAACCCGCACCACUUAUCGUGGUGGGAGACAGUGUCAGGCGGGCAGUUUGACUGGGGCGGUCGCCUCCUAA